GACUUGCUAACCGUCUCUCUUCCCAGCUGGCUCUGGACAAGUCAGAUUCCCACCCCUCUGACGCUCUGACCAGGAAAAAACCGGCCAAGGCGGUAGGUAGCCCCGAGGCCAGGUGGACCUUAGCCAGACCCAACCAGAGCCCUGAAAUUCGCCUCUCUCUGCCCAGGAAUCUAAGUCCUUUGCUGUGGGAAUGUUCAAAGGCCAGCUCACCACAGAUCAGGUGUUCCCAUACCCGUCCGUGCUCAACGAAGAGCAGACACAGUUUCUUAAAGAGCUGGUGGAGCCUGUGUCCCGUUUCUUCGAGGUAAGGAAUGACUCGGGGCUUGGUCCCUGGUGAGGUGUUUGGAGAUGUUAAGCUCAAAAGGAGCCUGGAUGUGGGAUCCUGUGCCUUCCCCAGGAAGUGAACGAUCCUGCCAAGAAUGACGCUCUGGAGAUGGUGGAGGAGACCACUUGGCAGGGCCUCAAGGAGCUGGGGGCCUUUGGUCUGCAAGUGCCCAGUGAGCUGGGUGGUGUGGGCCUUUGCAACACCCAGUACGCCCGUUUGGUGGAGAUCGUGGGCAUGCAUGACCUUGGCGUGGGCAUUACCCUGGGGGCCCACCAGAGCAUCGGUUUCAAAGGCAUCUU
This 624-nucleotide small RNA is filed under the name Pongo abelii (Sumatran orangutan). RNAcentral's name for it is "retained intron". The record is from RNAcentral. Lineage: Eukaryota; Metazoa; Chordata; Mammalia; Primates; Hominidae.